UGGGGAAUUUUGCACAAUGGGGGAAACCCUGAUGCAGCGACGCCGCGUGAUUUAGAAGGCCUUCGGGUUGUAAAAUUCUUUUUUAUGGGAGGAAAAUGACAGUACCAUAAGAACAAGGUCCGGCAAAAUACGUGCCAGCAGCCGCGGUAAUACGUAUGGACCGAGCGUUGUCCGGAAUCAUUGGGCGUAAAGGGUACGUAGGCGGCCCAGUAAGUUAGAAGUGAAAUAAUAUAGCUCAACGAUAUAAAGCUUUUAAAACUGCUAGGCUUGAGAGAUGGAAGGGAAAGUGGAAUUCCUAGUGUAGCGGUGAAAUGCGCAGAUAUUAGGAGAAAUACCGGUGGCGAAGGCGUCUUUCUGGCCAUAAUCUGACGCAGAGGUACGAAAGCGUGGGUAGCAAACAGG
RNAcentral lists this ribosomal RNA (402 nucleotides) under Bacteroidota bacterium. RNAcentral's name for it is "Bacteroidetes bacterium partial 16S ribosomal RNA". It matches the Rfam family "Bacterial small subunit ribosomal RNA", at positions 355 to 776 of the family's 1533-position model. The record is from RNAcentral. Lineage: Bacteria; Pseudomonadati; Bacteroidota.